RNAcentral lists this long non-coding RNA (7790 nucleotides) under Homo sapiens (human). RNAcentral describes it as "non-protein coding LINC00898:7". Lineage: Eukaryota; Metazoa; Chordata; Mammalia; Primates; Hominidae. The record is from RNAcentral.
ACUCCUCCCAUGCACACGCACACUGACACAUGUCCACACUCACGCUCACCUCACUUUCAGCUGAGGCCACACUUCACGUUUCCGAGAGAAAGCGGGCGAGGCAGCAGGAGCUCUGAGGGAUAACUGGCUCGUCCGCUUGCCUGUGCCCCGGGGCACCUACAGAGUGGGUACGUGACUUCCGGGGUGUCUGUGAGGGCGUUUCUGGAAGAGCUUCGUGUUUGCAAUGGCGGACUGAACACAGCAGCUGGCCCCUCCCCAAGGUGGGUGGGCCUCGUCCAAUCUGUGGAAGCCGGAACAGGACAAAAAGGUGGAGGGCGUUUGGAUUCUCUCUGCCUGACCCAAGGCAGACAUCCGUUCCCUCUGGCCGUUGGUACUCCUGGUUCUCAGGGAUUCAGACUCUGACUGGCGUCCACUCCAUUGGAUCCCGGCCCUCAGGUCUUGGAACUUGCACUGCCAGCAUUCCUGGGUGUCCGGCUUGCGGACAGCAGAUCGUGGGACUUCUCAGCCUCCAGAAUUGCACGAAGUGUCUCCUUACGAAUCUCUUCCUAUGUACGUGUAUCCUAUUGGCUCUGUUUCUCUGCAGAACCCUGACUAAUGCAAACCCUCUCAUCUCACAGCAGUGCAUGUACAAACCCACUCACAUCUUCCCCUCCCCUGCCUUCCCUACCGCAAGUUCCCUCCGACCAGAGGCCAAUCCCGCUGCGGUGCCCCGGACCCACCCUCUGCACCAGCCUUCCUUCUUGUUUUCUAAAAGCUCGCGUUUUCUGUGGGCUUCCAAGGCUGCUCUUCAGUAUCUUUACGUCAGAGCCUCCCAGCUCCUUCCCCUCUCUCAAAAGCGUUUUCACAGGGACUGUAGGCUCCUUCCCUCCCCUUGAUAACCAAGUACUAUGCCCCAGGUUCUUACCUCACAGCCCAAAGUUGUCCUAAGUCGGGCCCUGACCUGAGUGUCUCCAAAUCCAGCAGGCCGUCUGCUCUCCUGUGACAUGCAGCAUCCCACGGCUUUUCCUAAAAGACCCCCUCUGUCAGCUUUGCUGUCACCCACCCUCCAGGGCUCUCUCUUACAGGUCUGCCCUUUGCUAGCAUCUUAGCCUCUCCACCUCCCGGUGGUCCUGUCUGCGAUGGACCCCCUCCAUGUGUCCCAAGGCCCUCCAAAGGAACAGGUCUGUAUCAGGUGCAAUUAGAUUGAGGUGCAAUGCAAGGGCUUGAAUUGCAGAGAGGUUCAUUUUUCUUUUUGUAGAAAAGUCUGGGACCAGCUGUCAGAGACUGAUUUGGCCACUCCAUGGUCACCAGGACCAGGCUGUGUCCAUCUUUUCUGUUCUGACCUUUUUCACAUGGGCCAUUGUCCAUGUCACCGCUGGUCACCAGCUGCAGCAGUCGCAUUCUUGCUCCGGGCAGCAGGAAGAAGGUGAGACCAGAAGGCAGAGGGGGCUGGUCCUGCCUGGUCAGCCCCCAGGGGGCUUUGCCCAGACACCCCUUCCCCACCCAUGGCUCUGCUGAUUUCUCUAUAGCUGCCACCCUCUGAAAAGGGAGCUGGCAGAGUAGUUCUUAGACAUGGCACCUGGCCACCUCUGUGGCUGAAGAAGAAGGGGGUUGAGGAUUGGGGUACACACCUGUCAGUCUCCAUGCAAUGCCCCAAAGUGGACCACUGACCCCACACCACGCUGUUCUCCUCUGAGUUUUCUCACCUCUGUCCAAAUGGCUGCAGAAGCCAAAAGCCCCAGAGCCCAGCUCCCCUUCCCUCCUUUCUCUUCCAUCCUUCCAUCCUUCCAUGAGCCUGCCCCUCAUCCUCCUCAGGGCUGGAACUGGCUGCCGGAUUCCUCCCUGGCUCCGUGGGGGCUGGCUCAGCAAUCUGAGCUGCCGAUGGCUCUGUGGUCCAGCUGGGAGGAUUCAUGCCCCAUUGGGGCUGAGAGGAAUGAGGUGAGGGCUGUGGGGUUUGCCCAGAAUCUCCUGAAAUAUCGGGCCCAGGAACUACAGCAGGACUCUCAUUCCGCCUUCUGGCCACUGUUGGGGGUGACACUGGCAGGAUCCAGGGGCUCUGGAAAGCUCCAGGGGAAAUUUGAGGCAUAACCCAGCUUCUCUGAGACGGAACUCAGGGAGGAUCCAGCUCAAUCCUACAGAGGCGACCCCAAGGAAGGACCUGCCCAGGGUCACUUGGAGAGCUGGGCGGGAGGAGGGAGAAACCUCCCCCGUUCAGAGUGACAAAGCCCCCCUUGCCUCAGGGAUGGCUGAGAUCCAAGUCCUCAAAACACGCCGCCAUCUGGAGGGUGUGAGAGCGAGGUCCGUCCUCAGCAUGGACGCUGCAGUGCACACUGUUCCGUGCCAGGUGCUGGCUGACCCUGCCCUGUGGGAGGUGAUGGACAGGCACACAGGGGGAGCCCCGCAAACAAGGGGCCCUGUUACAGCAGAGUGGGAGAGCGCCUGGUAGGACGCCAAGCACCGUGGCCGGGCUGCAGAGAGGCCUGCGGGACUUGUAGACAAGACGUCAUGGAGAAGGCGGAGCUCCCAUGGGCCUUGCAGGUUUCACCAAGCAAGAGCGGAGAAGACACAGGCUGGACAAAGGAAGGUGGACGGGACAGCCAGCCGUGCAGCAGCCUCACAGGACACAGCUACCAGACAGAGAGCACCAGCUGACACUCAUUCCUCCAGCACCAGGAAAUGCCACAGCAGAAGAGAGUCUUCAAGAUGGGCCAGACCCACUUCUGCAGCAUGGUUGCUGGGAGCCUGCACAGGCCAGGCAUUUCUCUACAGGUGCAAUUGAGAACUCACUGAGGCAAAAGGGCCUUUGUCAACCCACAGAAGUGACAAGUCCAAGUGCAGACCAGGCUUCAGGUAUGGCUUGAUGGAGGCACACACGCUGUCUUUCCAGCUUCCAGUGUAGGGUGUCUGGGUGCCCUCUACUGACAAGAUGGUAGCAGGAGCCAGAGACUUUCUGUCCUCUCAGUGACAAGUUCAGAGGGAAAGCCAGGGCCCUGGCCAACAUUUCCGUGUGUCCCCUCUGUGUACCCAGUCCUCACGUCCAUCUCUGUGUGGCUGGAGGAGUGUAAUGUCCAGAGCUGCUCGGGUCUAAAUCACUCAGGCCUCACCUGCCAGGAAAGGUGUUUCCCCAGCUUCAGGGACCAGAAGUGGGGGGAAGGAUGUCCCAGGAAAAUGUAGGUGGAUGUGUCCAGCAAAGAGUAACCAGACACUGGGGCAGCAAGGACCUAGGUUCACCCCAGAAGGCUGGCUUCCACCCAACAAAGACAUCACCAUGGGAGCUAGAGACAGACCGGGAGGAGGUGAGAGGACAGAGCCCAGGGUCCUUGCACGGCCCAGGCGGAAGGGGGCACUGAGUCAACAGAAAGGAAGAAAAAGGGAGUUCAGAGGGGACAGGGCUGUGCCAGCAGACAUGUGUGGGGACCCCAGGCCGGCGAGGGGCUGGCAAGGCAGGAAGGAGGGAGGCCAUGGCCAGUGUAAGCAGGGCCAUUUCACCUCCUGGGAGCUCAGCCUGACCGCCUGUGUGUCCUGCGGAGACUCCAUGGGGAGUGGAGAUCGUGUCAUGAGUCCUUAUUCGGGCACUUCACCCACAAGUCACUCUGAUCACGUCUGUGAGUCCUUAUUUGGGGGCUGCCCCACCGCAGUCGCUCCGACCACGUCUGUGAGUCCUUAUUUGGGGGCUGCCCCACCGCAGUCGCUCCGAUCACGUCUGUGGCUGCUUCUCCCACAGGCUCCCACAGGUUCCUGUGAUUAGGUCAUUUGCCACCGGGAGAGCUUGGGUCCCUCACUGUGCACCCCCACCCCCUUGCCACUGCCUGUGGAGUGCACGGCACAGCACCCCUCGAGGGGCGUGGUGUUGAACUAAUAUGCACUUGAGGGGUCCCUGACCACGGGAGGAGGGAGGGAGGGACGGGCAGGCAGACAUCAACAGCCGCCAGUGGCUCCCAGGCUCUCAUCUGAGACAGGACAGGGAGGUAGGGCGAGCCUGGAAUGAACGCUGGGUGGAAAUGCCCGGGGAACCACAGGGAGCAAGACGUGGACUCCAGGAAGAUGGUGCUCUGGUGGGUGGGAGUAUGGAGGGCAGAGGGCAGGGUGGCCAGGGUGGACCCUCUCCAUCAAGGGUCGCUGCAGGGAGGCAGGGCGAAGACGGGACGGGGAGAUGGUGGGUAUGGAGGGACAAGGGCAGAGAACUGGGCAGCCUAGGGCAGGCUCACCCUCAGACAGGCUGGCAGAAAGGGGUUGCCAGGCUGGCAGAAGAGGGGUCACCAGCAAAGCAGGAGUGGGCAGAGGCAAGAGGCACAGAAGGCAGAGGCCGUUCUGCCGCAGUGCAGCAUCCGAUCAGCGGCUGGUCAGCAGCUGGAGGCUACUCUCCUCUACUCCACAGGUCCAGUUGCUCUUCAGAACUCAAAAUCCCAUCUCUGCAGGUCUCAGCCAAUCCUGCUCCCGCCUGUUUUUAUUUCCUGCCCAGAGCAAGUACAGAACCGAGGGCCAUCGAUGGGCGAGAAAUCACUGUGCCUCCAAGCUGUAUUUUUCACCGUAACAAGUCAUUACUUCUGUGCCCGGAGUCAUUUCUCAGGAUCUUAAUGCAUUCGUUUAUCAAUCAAUACUUAACUGAUGUCUAUAAAGCAUGUUCAAAAUCAGAGGUGAGAGCAGCUCACCAGGUACCGACUUCGUGUCUGGAGCCACCUUGUUAAGGAGCAACCCUUGGCACGGGUCCCGUGUCUGCACCCUCGGGAGCUCUGGGUGGGUGCACUGGGGUCCUCACAGCCCUUCCCACCACCGCAGAUGGAAAUCUCUACCUGGCAGAGGGGCUCAGUCGUCCCCACCUGGGAGUCUGGGGCCUACCGGCAGCAGAAGGUGCAGUGGCCAAACACAGAGACAUUUCUAUCAUCAGACCUGGUCCCCAGCCUGACUCUGCUGCCCACUUACCCCUGGCCAGGGCGAGUUCAUCGACUGUGCCGAGCCUGGCUGCUUCUCCAGCCUAACAGGAGUCCCCGUCUCGACAGGACUGAGUGGGGUGAAUGCAGCCAAGUGCUCAGCAGAGACUGUCCCACCGGGAAGUGUUCACAAAUAUGGGCUGUUGAACCUGCUGUUGUUAGAUCUAGAUCCAGUUCUGCGACCACGUUCAUGACUUAGAUCAUAACUGAAGUGCGGGCCAGCCGAGGCCGGGCCGUUUAGGGGUUUGGCUGCUAAUUCAAGAAGGACACCUGGGUUUGGAUCCCAGAGUUCCCUCCAGACCCAGAUGUGGCCUCAGGCAGGUGAUGAGCCUGGAGAUGCGGUUUCAUUUUCUGCAGGGUGGUCAAAGGAGAUCUCAGGCUUGUAGGAGACAAAGCACAUCGCCCCGAACUGCUCAGGAGGCGCAGAUUACAGCCACCCUCCUUAUCCACCCCGUCUCCCAUCACAGCCCUCAUGAGUGCUCAAGCAAGGCUCAGGGCCUGAUGGACGUGGCUGCCUCCUCCUAGAGGACAGGCAUGUCUCGGCUGCCUGCACCAGCCAGCGGCCCUUCUCCCCGGCCAGGAGAUCCUCCAAGGAAGGCCAAGGGCCAAGCAGGUAGGCUAGGGAUGGGCUCUGGUACAUGGGCCCCAUUCCCAUGAUUGGAAACUUCCCAGGCGCCAUUUGUCACCUUGACUCGCUGUUUCAAGCCCGGCUCUCCCUGGGGCGCCAGGAGUGGGCCCAGGCCCUUCCGACAGCCGGCCUGCAGCUGUGCUGGUGACUGAUUGGGGAUGAGGCCACUGUCCCUGCCUUCCUGGGAGCCAGGAUGUUGAUUGAAUGGCCAUUUCACUCUCUCCAACAAGCAAGUAACAGUGUAAACUGGGGUCUAAUUUAUCAAAAACAGUCGCUUGUAUUCUGCGUGGCCCAUGUUCUGGGCUGAAACAGCCGCUACCCAGCUCCUGGCCCACGUGCGUGCGAUUUCCUGAUAUUUCAGUUUUAUGGAAGACAUCUCACUGACGAAUGUCUCUUAGUGAACGAUCAUUCUGGAAGCUAUUUUGCCUUCAAAGAGGCUUCUCCUGGAAUGGGCUGGGAGGGGCGGGCACCGUGUUAUAUAUAAAUUCACUGCCAGGAGCGCCCAGCAGGGGAGGGAAUGAGAUCGGCAGGAGAUGAGAAUGAAAUGUGUGCGGCUGCAGCCAAGCCUGUCCUCCCUGUCACCGUCCGAGGGCUGCUGGGAUGGGCGGGAAGGCCAGAUGUGGGACAGGUGGCCCAAGUGACGCCCCCAGCUUCACCACCUGCCACUGCCUGGCCUUGGGCAGCUCACUCCCUCUGGGAGCCUGGGCUUCUCACGGGGCAUAAUGAUUUACAAAUUGCUGCCACUUCUCUGCUUGCUCUCGACCAUCAUUACACGUCAGGCAGGGCUGGGACUGGAGGCUGAGCUGUGUCCCAGCUACGGGUGACCGUGCCAGAGCUGCCAGGGAUCCUGAGGCACAAUGAGAGCCUUCCUUCCACCCACCGUGCGCUUUCUGCCUGUGAUGUGGCCGAGACAUCGCAGGCUGUGGGGUCCUCAGCGCUCAGGCUCCCUGUACUCUCUCUCCCUGCAUACCUGGACCUCCGUUCUCUCUUGCUGGAGGCCUAGAAAAAGUCCCUGGAAUGAAAUCACUCAGGCUCUGGUGCAGACACUGGCACCGCCUGUCCAGGGGGCCCCGGAUAAGUCCCUCCCACUCUCUGGACUCAGGGGCCAUGUCUGCAAAUGAGGCUGGAAAACGAGAUGGUCCCUACAAGGCCCUCUGGUACCUGGAGGGACUGAGUGUCCCAGCCUGGGCCCUGCAGCAGCCCUUCCAUAUCAUGCAUGCAAGGGACUCUGAAUCCCAACCCCACCAUUAGAAGGGCCGCUGUCAGCCAAGAACAGGAUCGUCAUCCCCUCCGUCCCCUGCACAACGGAGCAUAGCUGCCCCUUUCUACCAUCUUUGUUCUAGGUUGAGGUUCUCAAAGGGGAGUCCCAGGCCAGCAGCAUCAGUCCCACCUUGUAGUGUGCUAGAAAUGCAGAUUCUCAGGCCCCUCUGCGGUCUAUAGAAUUCAGAAGUCAGGUGCUGGGGCCCAGGAAUCUACUUUAACAGGCUGCAUUUUCUGCAGCUGCUGGAGCAGAUGACCACAAACUCAGUGACUGCAGAGUGCACGCGCUCAUCACCUUACAGUUGUGUAGGCUGGGAUCCCACUGGGCUAAGACCAAGGUGUUGGGAGGCUGCGUUUCUUGCUGGAUGCUGUAAGGGAGAAGUCGUUUCCUCGUGUUUUUUUAACUUCCUUGGCCCACGGACCUUCCUCCACCUUCAAAGCCAGCAGCCUCGCGUCUUCUGACCUUCCAUUGUCACAUCGUCAUCUGACCCACGUAAGGACCCGUGUGAUUAGGGUGGGCGCACCCGGGUAAUCUUCCCAUCUCAAAGUCCUUGACUGAAUCACAUCUGCAAAGUCCCCUUUGCUACGUAAGGUCACAUGUUCACAAGAUCCAGGGAUUAGGACUUGGACAUUUUUGGAAGCCCAUUGUCCUGCCAACAGCACAAGACCUCCAGGUGAUCCUGAUGUGUAACGCACAGUGAGAGACAAAUGCUCUGAUGGACCAUCAACAGCAGAACGUAAGCAGGGAGAGGGACCCCGCCUUCCUCCCCAAUCUGGCCCUGUGCCUAGCAAAUUAUAGAACUUUUGUAAGCAAAUGAGUUCAUUUGUGAAUAAAUGAACGACCGGUGAGACGAAGAGCUGGGCGUAGCAGCCACAGGUGGGGCUGCCAAAUAAAAUGCAAGAUGCGUGGUUAAAUCUGAAUUUCAGAUAAAUAACAAGUACUUAUGUUUUUGGGGGUUUUUUUGUUUUUUUGUUUUUUUUUUGAGAUGGAG